GACGAACGCUGGCGGCGUGCUUAACACAUGCAAGUCGAACGGUGAAGGGGUCUGCUUUUGUGGGCCCUGGAUGAGUGGCGAACGGGUGAGUAACACGUGAGUAACCUGCCCCCUUCUUCUGGAUAACCGCAUGAAAGUGUGGCUAAUACGGGAUAUUCUGGGUCUGUCGCAUGAUGGGUCUGGGAAAGAUUGCGCCUUUGGGUGUUUUUGGUGGGGGAUGGGCUCGCGGCCUAUCAGCUUGUUGGUGGGGUGAUGGCCUACCAAGGCGGUGACGGGUAGCCGGCCUGAGAGGGUGGACGGUCACACUGGGACUGAGACACGGCCCAGACUCCUACGGGAGGGAGCAGUGGGGAAUAUUGCACAAUGGGCGCAAGCCUGAUGCAGCGACGCCGCGUGAGGGAUGGAGGCCUUCGGGUUGUAAACCUCUUUCGCCAGUGAAGCAGGCCUGCUCCUUGUGGGUGGGUUGACGGUAGCUGGAUAAGAAGCGCCGGCUAACUACGUG
RNAcentral lists this ribosomal RNA (502 nucleotides) under uncultured bacterium. RNAcentral describes it as "partial 16S ribosomal RNA". It matches the Rfam family "Bacterial small subunit ribosomal RNA", at positions 28 to 507 of the family's 1533-position model. The record is from RNAcentral.